Molecule: long non-coding RNA, 744 nt
Filed under: Homo sapiens (human)
Lineage: Eukaryota; Metazoa; Chordata; Mammalia; Primates; Hominidae
Description: HSALNT0044915
Source: RNAcentral
GAUGUGGGGAAAUCUGAAUCCUCAUUUAUCGUUGGUGAGAAUGCAAAUGAUGCAGUCACUUUGGAAAACAGCUUGGCAGUUCCUCAAAAAGUUAACCAUGGAGUUGCCAUAUGGCCCAGCAAUGCCAGUGCUAGGUAUACACCCAAGAGCACUGAAAACAUGUCUACACAAAAACUUGUACACUCAUGUUCACAGAACAUGAUUAAUAGUAGCUAAAAUGUGGAAACAACCCAAAUGUCCAUCAGCUGAUGAACAGAGUGUGUUAUAGCCAUACGAUGGAAUAUUAUUUGGCCAUAAAAAGGAAAAAAGAUAGAUGAACCUUGAAAGUAUUAUACUGAAUGAAAGAAUCCACAUAAUGUAUGAUUCCAUUUAUAUAAACUGUCCAGAAGAGGCAAGUCUGUAGAGACAGAAAGUAGAUUAAUGGUUUCCAGGGGCCUCAGAAAGGGGGAAUGGGGUAAUUGCAAAUAAGCAUAGGGCUUCUUUUUCGGGUAAUGAAAAUAUUCUGGAACUAGUGUCAAUGGUUGCACAACUUUGUGAAUGUACUAAGAACACUGAAUUGCACACGUUGAAAGGAUGCAUUUUUGAUAUGUGAAUUACAUCUCAAUAAAGCUGUUAUUUUAUAAAAGAAAGAAAGGAAAAGUAAAAGCAAGCUAUACAGAAAAAGAUAGCUAAACAGCUAUCUAUGAUGCUUUAGGCCACCAUCGUCCCUGGCUGCUUCAAUGCUGUCAGGUAUUUACAUUGAUU